This 529-nucleotide ribosomal RNA is filed under the name Malassezia sympodialis. Its description in RNAcentral is "SSU rRNA". It matches the Rfam family "Eukaryotic small subunit ribosomal RNA", at positions 595 to 1144 of the family's 1831-position model. Lineage: Eukaryota; Fungi; Basidiomycota; Malasseziomycetes; Malasseziales; Malasseziaceae. The record is from RNAcentral.
AAUAGCGUAUAUKAWAGUUGUUGCAGUUAAAAAGCUCGUAGUUGGACCUUGGGCCUGGACAGGCGGUCCGCCUCACGGCGUGUACUGUCUUGCUGGGCCUUUCCUCUUGGUGAUCUGUGGUUUCGGCCGCAGGGAACCAGGACCUUUACUUUGAAAAAAUUAGAGUGUUCAAAGCAGGCUUUACGCCAGAAUAUAUUAGCAUGGAAUAAUAAAAUAGGACGUGCGGUUCUAUUUUGUUGGUUUUUGGGAUCGCCGUAAUGAUUAAUAGGGACAGUCGGGGGCAUUAGUACUCACAUGCUAGAGGUGAAAUUCUUGGAUUUUGUGAAGACUAACUUCUGCGAAAGCAUUUGCCAAGGAUGUUUUCAUUAAUCAAGAACGAAGGUUAGGGUAUCGAAAACGAUUAGAUACCGUUGUAGUCUUAACAGUAAACUAUGCCGACUAGGGAUCGGUCGAUGUUAUUUUCUUGACUCGAUCGGCACCUUACGAGAAAUCAAAGUUUGUCUGGAGUUCUGGGGGGAGUAUGGUCGCA